CGCAUCUGUGCAUGCAGCAUAUCAAUAAGCGGAGGAAAAGAAACUAACAAGGAUUCCCUCAGUAACGGCGAGUGAAGCGGGAAGAGCUCAAAUUUGAAAUCUUGAAAGGUCACCUUUCACGAAUUGUAGUUUAAAGAAGUGUUUUCUGUUACGAUCGUAAUAUAAGUUCUUUGGAAUAGGACAUCACAGAGGGUGAGAAUCCCGUCUAUGAUUGCGAUUUGUAGCUUUGUGAUACACUUUCAAAGAGUCGGGUUGUUUGGGAAUGCAGCCCAAAACGGGAGGUAAAUUUCUUCUAAGGCUAAAUAUUGGCGAGAGACCGAUAGCGAACAAGUACCGUGAGGGAAAGAUGAAAAAACUUUGAAAAGAGAGUUAAAUAGUACGUGAAAUUGUCAAAAGGGAAGCGUUUGACACCAGUGUUGUUUUCUCGAAAAUCAAUUAAAAAUGGCUCGAUUUUGUAUUGUUGAGACCUUAAAAGCUCACUGUACAUUUUUCGUGUCUUUUUUAAUGCACUUUUCGUUUAACAAGUCAACAUCAGUUUCUUUUGUUGUAAAAGGGUCAUUGGAAGGUGGCUUUCUUUUCGGAGAAAGUGUUUAUAGCCUUUGGCCUCUGCAAUCGGAAGAGACUGAGGUCUGCAGCGUAGACUCUUCGGGGUUAGAUACAUUUGUGCUAAGUUAUAGCUUUUUAUAGACAACUUGUUGACUAUAAUUAGUCUUGUAGCUUACUCGCUUAUGCUAUUUUACCUACGCUUAGGAUGUUGACGAUCAGCUGAGCGCG
RNAcentral lists this ribosomal RNA (774 nucleotides) under uncultured Neocallimastigales. RNAcentral describes it as "partial large subunit ribosomal RNA". It matches the Rfam family "Eukaryotic large subunit ribosomal RNA", at positions 26 to 625 of the family's 3401-position model. Lineage: Eukaryota; Fungi; Neocallimastigomycota; Neocallimastigomycetes; Neocallimastigales. The record is from RNAcentral.